UAUUACAGACUUCCUGUAACAACCACUCCCAAACUGUGAGGAGCCACUCCCAACUUAAUGACUUCUGACAACAAUCACCUUAUAAGCAGUGUUGGGGUGUGAAGGUCGAGGUCCAGGAUGACUCAGCCUUCCGGAUCCAUAGUGAUGUUUCUGUCAUACCUCGUUGGUCAGCCAGCCAUGCAAGCCAAGAUUGCAUCAGGUUGUAGAGGAAACUUCUAAGAUAGACAGAAAUUGAUUUUGUCUACUCCGCAUGAAGAUAAAAUGGAAGAGGUACUCUUCAACCACAAAAUCAAAUUCACUGGAGGUAACACAUUUUCAAAAACGUUCCAACUUAAACACCAGGAAUGAUGACCCGACCUCAGUCCUGCCUUAAACGUGUAGCUCUGCAGCUUUUGGAGAUGCUGUAUUGUUUUUGCAGGAGGGGUAAAGAGGAGGGGACACCUCUGCUUUAACUUGUGGUUUGAUCUGGGUAAAGGACUCGGAGGAAGGAAGACCUAAGGUCAGAGUCCAGAGUUUGCUCUGGAGUCCAGACUGCAGGAUCCCAGCAAACCUGCAAGUCUGGCAGUCCCUUGAUUCACUCCACAGCUAUGAACAAGCUCCCCCUGUGUUUGCUGGGGGCUGUCCUUCAUCUCCCUCCAGGGUCCUCUUUUCUGGAUGGCUGUGAGAACUCAGGAACUCUUUCUUUAAGAACUGUGACAACCAUAGCACUGUGAAGUCCUGGCACAGCGUCCGUGCCCAACAAAUCUCAAAUGUCUUUGUUCACCAUCUCCUUGGAAAGCCAGUUCUGGAAGAAGAAAGAAUGCAGAAACCAGAGAAAGGGUGGGCCAUCCAGUCCAGCUCAUGAGAAUUAUUCUUCAAGCCAUUAAAAGUGCCCACUCCC
Molecule: long non-coding RNA, 880 nt
Organism: Peromyscus eremicus (cactus mouse)
Lineage: Eukaryota; Metazoa; Chordata; Mammalia; Rodentia; Cricetidae
Exons: 3
Source: RefSeq, a predicted model, not a curated record